This 376-nucleotide ribosomal RNA is filed under the name uncultured bacterium. RNAcentral's name for it is "partial 16S ribosomal RNA". It matches the Rfam family "Bacterial small subunit ribosomal RNA", at positions 355 to 723 of the family's 1533-position model. The record is from RNAcentral.
UGGGGAAUAUUGCACAAUGGGCGCAAGCCUGAUGCAGCCAUGCCGCGUGUAUGAAGAAGGCCUUCGGGUUGUAAAGUACUUUCAGCGGGGAGGAAGGCGAUAAGGUUAAUAACCUUGUCGAUUGACGUUACCCGCAGAAGAAGCACCGGCUAACUCCGUGCCAGCAGCCGCGGUAAUACGGAGGGUGCAAGCGUUAAUCGGAAUUACUGGGCGUAAAGCGCACGCAGGCGGUCUGUCAAGUCGGAUGUGAAAUCCCCGGGCUCAACCUGGGAACUGCAUUCGAAACUGGCAGGCUAGAGUCUUGUAGAGGGGGGUAGAAUUCCAGGUGUAGCGGUGAAAUGCGUAGAGAUCUGGAGGAAUACCGGUGGCGAAGGCG